GUUUAAAUAGCUUAUUUAGAGUAUAGCAUUGAAGCUGCUAGGGAAAAUUUAUUUUUUUAAAUA
Molecule: transfer RNA, 63 nt
Filed under: Nepiomorpha sp. NespEL
Lineage: Eukaryota; Metazoa; Arthropoda; Insecta; Psocodea; Elipsocidae
Description: tRNA-Phe
Source: RNAcentral